UCCCGAUGAUGAAAUGCUGUCUCUGACGUGCUGCACGGAGCCAGAACCUGUAAAGGUGAACCCACUGGUGCCUGCAGCACGGCAAGAGGAGAGAGGGUUCGUGUUGAACUGUCUGAUGGGAC
Molecule: small nucleolar RNA, 122 nt
Organism: Mobula hypostoma (lesser devil ray)
Lineage: Eukaryota; Metazoa; Chordata; Chondrichthyes; Myliobatiformes; Myliobatidae
Product: small nucleolar RNA SNORD22
Exons: 1
Source: RefSeq, a predicted model, not a curated record